AGGGCAUCAGGACAAUGUAUAGUAGAAGUGGUUACAGUUGAGCAUUCUUGUCUCAGCCCUAGUUUCAGGAGGAAGUUCCAGAAUUUCACUGUCAGGUCGUUGGAUAGGUUCUUUAUGAAAGUUGCACGAAAAGAAAAAGAUUCCAUUGAGCUAAUAGAUACUAGUGGUUCCAUUAGCGGUAGUGAAAGUCCUCCUACACGAUAACCCUCCUCUCGCUUGUCUCUCUCACACCAGCCACGAAGGUUUUCAAAGAUCAGCCUCUGAAAUAGGAGCACGGCCCCAGGGGAAAUGCAGCUUACUCAUCAAGCCUCAGGUAGGAAAGCACCAACAAGUAAUGACUUCCCAGCCGUGGGAUGCUUCUAGAGUCGAUAUAUUUCCAGUCUAAUCGAGACAGCAACCAAAGUGAUCU
This is a long non-coding RNA of Herpailurus yagouaroundi (jaguarundi), 409 nucleotides long. RefSeq lists it as uncharacterized. Lineage: Eukaryota; Metazoa; Chordata; Mammalia; Carnivora; Felidae. The record is from RefSeq and is a predicted model, not a curated record. The transcript is spliced from 3 exons.